This 103-nucleotide non-coding RNA is filed under the name Pseudoramibacter alactolyticus. Its description in RNAcentral is "TPP sequence". It matches the Rfam family "TPP riboswitch aptamer (THI element)". From Rfam's summary of the family: Vitamin B(1) in its active form thiamin pyrophosphate (TPP) is an essential coenzyme that is synthesised by coupling of pyrimidine and thiazole moieties in bacteria. The previously detected thiamin-regulatory element, thi box was extended, resulting in a new, highly conserved RNA secondary structure, the THI element, which is widely distributed in eubacteria and also occurs in some archaea. Lineage: Bacteria; Bacillati; Bacillota; Clostridia; Eubacteriales; Eubacteriaceae. The record is from RNAcentral. RNAcentral also lists the same sequence under 1 other name.
AUACAGAAAAAGGGGAGCUGGCAACGGCUGAGAGGAAGCAUUCGCUUCGACCCAUACACCUGAUUUGGAUAAUGCCAACGGAGGGACCAUCGUGGAACUUUGA